CCUACGGGUGGCAGCAGUGGGGAAUAUUGGGCAAUGGGCGCAAGCCUGACCCAGCAACGCCGCGUGAAGGAAGAAGGCUUUCGGGUUGUAAACUUCUUUUCUCAGGGACGAAGAAAGUGACGGUACCUGAGGAAUAAGCCACGGCUAACUACGUGCCAGCAGCCGCGGUAAUACGUAGGUGGCAAGCGUUAUCCGGAUUUACUGGGUGUAAAGGGCGUGUAGGCGGGGAAGCAAGUCAGAUGUGAAAACCACGGGCUCAACCUGUGGCCUGCAUUUGAAACUGUUUUUCUUGAGUACUGGAGAGGCAGACGGAAUUCCUAGUGUAGCGGUGAAAUGCGGAGAUAUUAGGAGGACCACGAGGGGCGAGGGCGGUCUGCUGAACAGCAACUGACGCUGAGGCGCGAAAGCGUGGGGAGCAAACAGGAUUAGAUACCCGAGUAGUC
This 443-nucleotide ribosomal RNA is filed under the name uncultured bacterium. RNAcentral's name for it is "partial 16S ribosomal RNA". It matches the Rfam family "Bacterial small subunit ribosomal RNA", at positions 338 to 795 of the family's 1533-position model. The record is from RNAcentral.